AGCGGCGGAUGGGUGAGUAACACGUGGGGAACCUGCCCCUAGGUCUGGGAUACCAUUUGGAAACAGGUGCUAAUACCGGAUAAUAAAGCAGAUCGCAUGAUCAGCUUUUGAAAGGCGGCGUAAGCUGUCGCUAAGGGAUGGCCCCGCGGUGCAUUAGCUAGUUGGUAAGGUAACGGCUUACCAAGGCGACGAUGCAUAGCCGAGUUGAGAGACUGAUCGGCCACAUUGGGACUGAGACACGGCCCAAACUCCUACGGGAGGCAGCAGUAGGGAAUCUUCCACAAUGGACGCAAGUCUGAUGGAGCAACGCCGCGUGAGUGAAGAAGGUUUUCGGAUCGUAAAGCUCUGUUGUUGGUGAAGAAGGAUAGAGGUAGUAACUGGCCUUUAUUUGACGGUAAUCAACCAGAAAGUCACGGCUAACUACGUGCCAGCAGCCGCGGUAAUACGUAGGUGGCAAGCGUUGUCCGGAUUUAUUGGGCGUAAAGCGAGCGCAGGCGGAAAAAUAAGUCUAAUGUGAAAGCCCUCGGCUUAACCGAGGAACUGCAUCGGAAACUGUUUUUCUUGAGUGCAGAAGAGGAGAGUGGAACUCCAUGUGUAGCGGUGGAACGCGUAGAUAUAUGGAAGAACACCAGUGGCGAAGGCGGCUCUCUGGUCUGCAACUGACGCUGAGGCUCGAAAGCAUGGGUAGCGAACAGGAUUAGAUACCCUGGUAGUCCAUGCCGUAAACGAUGAGUGCUAAGUGU
Molecule: ribosomal RNA, 743 nt
Filed under: uncultured bacterium
Lineage: Bacteria
Description: bacterial SSU rRNA
Rfam family: Bacterial small subunit ribosomal RNA
Source: RNAcentral